This 85-nucleotide transfer RNA is filed under the name Felis catus (domestic cat). It matches the Rfam family "tRNA". From Rfam's summary of the family: Transfer RNA (tRNA) molecules are approximately 80 nucleotides in length. Their secondary structure includes four short double-helical elements and three loops (D, anti-codon, and T loops). Further hydrogen bonds mediate the characteristic L-shaped molecular structure. tRNAs have two regions of fundamental functional importance: the anti-codon, which is responsible for specific mRNA codon recognition, and the 3' end, to which the tRNAs corresponding amino acid is attached (by aminoacyl-tRNA synthetases). tRNAs cope with the degeneracy of the genetic code in two manners: having more than one tRNA (with a specific anti-codon) for a particular amino acid; and 'wobble' base-pairing, i.e. permitting non-standard base-pairing at the 3rd anti-codon position. The record is from Rfam by way of RNAcentral. Lineage: Eukaryota; Metazoa; Chordata; Mammalia; Carnivora; Felidae.
GCCUGGGUGGCUUAGUUGGUUAAGUGUCUGACUUUGGUUCAGGUCAUGAUCUCAUGGUUCGUGGGUUCAAGCCCCGCAUGGGGCU